GGGCCUGUAGCUCAGUUGGUUAGAGCUAUCCGCUCAUAACGGAUCGGUCGUAGGUUCAAGUCCUACCGGGCCCACCA
Molecule: transfer RNA, 77 nt
Filed under: Hyphomicrobiales bacterium
Lineage: Bacteria; Pseudomonadati; Pseudomonadota; Alphaproteobacteria; Hyphomicrobiales
Also listed under: 1 other name
Description: tRNA-Ile
Rfam family: tRNA
About the family: Transfer RNA (tRNA) molecules are approximately 80 nucleotides in length. Their secondary structure includes four short double-helical elements and three loops (D, anti-codon, and T loops).
Source: RNAcentral